RNAcentral lists this small nucleolar RNA (87 nucleotides) under Genlisea aurea. RNAcentral describes it as "Small nucleolar RNA snoR53Y". It matches the Rfam family "Small nucleolar RNA snoR53Y". The record is from Rfam by way of RNAcentral. Lineage: Eukaryota; Viridiplantae; Streptophyta; Magnoliopsida; Lamiales; Lentibulariaceae.
GUUUCCGGUGAUGGUUGCUUUACUCUAAGCCAUGCUAAUUCUGAUCAUAUAUGGAUGUGAUCGAAACAGAAUGUCUCUGAUGGAACA